RNAcentral lists this ribosomal RNA (955 nucleotides) under Antechinus swainsonii (dusky antechinus). Its description in RNAcentral is "partial 16S ribosomal RNA". It matches the Rfam family "Bacterial large subunit ribosomal RNA", at positions 200 to 2014 of the family's 2925-position model. The record is from RNAcentral. Lineage: Eukaryota; Metazoa; Chordata; Mammalia; Dasyuromorphia; Dasyuridae.
AUCUAAACAACUUUUCAAAACAUUUAUAUUUAUAUCUUAGUAUAGGUGAUAGAACAGAUUUAUUCUUAGGCACAAUAGAGAGAGUACCGUGAGGGAACGUUGAAAGAUCGAAUCCUGUAAGCAAUAAAAAGCAAAGAUUAAACCUUCUACCUUUUGCAUAAUGAUUUAGCCAGUCUACCCGGACAAAAAGAAUUGAAGCCCGUCUUCCCGAAAUUAAGUGAGCUAUUGUAGAACAGUUGUUAGAACGAACUCGUCUAUGUAGCAAAAUAGUGAGAUGAUUUUACAAUAGAGGUGAAAAGCCUAUCGAACUUAAUGAUAGCUGGUUGUCCAAAAAGCGAAUUUUAGUUCAACUUUAAAUUUAACCCAAGUACUAAUAAACCAAAUUUAAGUUUAAAUGUUACUCAAAAGGGGGACAACUCUUUUGAUAUGUGAACAAACUUGCUUAGUGGGUAAUGAUAUAUAUAUAACACAUUGUAGGCCUAAAAGCAGCCACCAAUUAAGAAAGCGUUAAAGCUCAAACUAGUCUGUUAUUUAAUACCAAUAAUUCAUCAAAACCCCUAAUCCAAUAUUGGACAAUUCUAUUAAUAUUUAGAAGAUAUAAUGCUAAUAUGAGUAACAUGAAUUUAUUCUCCUUGCAUAAGCAUAAAUACGAUCGGAACAACCGCUUACACUUAUACGACCAAAUAAUUAUACCUAUAUACAAGCAUCCUAUUACCCUUAUUGUUAACCCAACCCAGGCAUGCAUAAAAGGAAAGAUUAAAAGGAAUAAAAGGAACUCGGCAAACAAAACCCCGCCUGUUUACCAAAAACAUCACCUCUAGCAUUUACCAGUAUUAGAGGCACUGCCUGCCCGGUGAGUUAUGACUUUAACGGCCGCGGUAUCCUGACCGUGCAAAGGUAGCAUAAUCACUUGUCUCUUAAUUGGAGACUAGUAUGAAUGGCAUGACGAGGGUUU